UACAGAGGGGGCAAGCGUUGUUCGGAAUUACUGGGCGUAAAGGGCGCGUAGGUGGCCUUCUAAGUUGAACGUAAAAUCCCUGGGCUCAACCCAGGAACUGCGUCCAAGACUGGGAGGCUUGAAUCCGGGAGAGGGAUGCGGAAUUCCAGGUGUAGCGGUGAAAUGCGUAGAUAUCUGGAGGAACACCGGUGGCGAAGGCGGCAUCCUGGACCGGUAUUGACACUGAGGCGCGAAAGCCAGGGGAGCAAACAGG
Molecule: ribosomal RNA, 253 nt
Filed under: uncultured bacterium
Lineage: Bacteria
Description: partial 16S ribosomal RNA
Rfam family: Bacterial small subunit ribosomal RNA
Source: RNAcentral